Molecule: ribosomal RNA, 468 nt
Filed under: uncultured bacterium
Lineage: Bacteria
Description: partial 16S ribosomal RNA
Rfam family: Bacterial small subunit ribosomal RNA
Source: RNAcentral
GACGAACGCUGGCGGCGUGCUUAACACAUGCAAGUCGAACGGAAAGGCCCUGCUUUUGUGGGGUGCUCGAGUGGCGAACGGGUGAGUAACACGUGAGUAACCUGCCCUUGACUUUGGGAUAACUUCAGGAAACUGGGGCUAAUACCGGAUAGGAGCUCCUGCUGCAUGGUGGGGGUUGGAAAGUUUCGGCGGUUGGGGAUGGACUCGCGGCUUAUCAGCUUGUUGGUGGGGUAGUGGCUUACCAAGGCUUUGACGGGUAGCCGGCCUGAGAGGGUGACCGGCGACAUUGGGACUGAGAUACGGACCAGACUCCUACGGGAGGCAGCAGUGGGGAAUAUUGCACAAUGGGCGGAAGCCUGAUGCAGAAACGCCGCGUGCGGGAUGACGGCCUUCGGGUUGUAAACCGCUUUCGCCUGUGACGAAGCGUGAGUGACGGUAAUGGGUAAAGAAGCACCGGCUAACUACGUG